GACGAACCGUACGAACGUUAUUCGGAAUCACUGGGCUUAAAGGGUGCGUAGGCGGCGGCGCAAGUUGGGUGUGAAAUCCCUCGGCUCAACCGAGGAACUGCGCUCAAAACUGCGUCGCUUGAGGGAGAUAGAGGUGAGUGGAACUUAGGGUGGAGCGGUGAAAUGCGUUGAUAUCCUAAGGAACACCAGUGGCGAAAGCGACUCACUGGGUCUCUUCUGACGCUGAGGCACGAAAGCUAGGGUAGCGAACGGG
RNAcentral lists this ribosomal RNA (253 nucleotides) under uncultured bacterium. RNAcentral describes it as "partial 16S ribosomal RNA". It matches the Rfam family "Bacterial small subunit ribosomal RNA", at positions 524 to 776 of the family's 1533-position model. The record is from RNAcentral.